CCAGAGUGGAUCCUGAGUACGGCGGAACACGUGAAAUUCCGUCGGAAUCCGGGAGGACCAUCUCCCAAGGCUAAAUACUCCCUAGUGACCGAUAGUGAACCAGUACCGUGAGGGAAAGGUGAAAAGCACCCCGGAAGGGGAGUGAAACAGUUCCUGAAACCGUGUGCCUACAAGUAGUUAGAGCCCGUUAAUGGGUGAUAGCGUGCCUUUUGUAGAAUGAACCGGCGAGUUACGAUUUGUUGCAAGGUUAAGCGGAAAAAGCGGAGCCGUAGCGAAAGCGAGUCUGAAUAGGGCGCAUAAGUAACAGGUCGUAGACCCGAAACCAGGUGAUCUACCCAUGUCCAGGAUGAAGGUAAGGUAAUACUUACUGGAGGUCCGAACCCACGCACGUUGAAAAGUGCGGGGAUGAGGUGUGGGUAGCGGAGAAAUUCCAAUCGAACUUGGAGAUAGCUGGUUCUCUCCGAAAUAGCUUUAGGGCUAGCCUCGAGGUAAAGAGUCAUGGAGGUAGAGCACUGUUUGGACUAGGGGCCCUUCUCGGGUUACCGAAUUCAGAUAAACUCCGAAUGCCAUGUACUUAUACUCGGGAGUCAGACUGCGAGUGAUAAGAUCCGUAGUCGAAAGGGAAACAGCCCAGACCACCAGUUAAGGUCCCCAAAUAUAUGUUAAGUGGAAAAGGAUGUGGGGUUGCUUAGACAACCAGGAUGUUGGCUUAGAAGCAGCCACCAUUGAAAGAGUGCGUAAUAGCUCACUGGUCGAGUGACCCCGCGCCGAAAAUGUACCGGGGCUAAACAUAUUACCGAAACUGUGGAUGAACCUCUUUAGAGGUUCGUGGUAGGAGAGCGUUCUAAGGGCGGUGAAGUCAGACCGGAAGGACUGGUGGAGCGCUUAGAAGUGAGAAUGCCGGUAUGAGUAGCGAAAGAAGGGUGAGAAUCCCUUCCACCGAAUAUCUAAGGUUUCCUGAGGAAGGCUCGUCCGCUCAGGGUUAGUCGGGACCUAAGCCGAGGCCGAUAGGCGUAGGCGAUGGACAACAGGUAGAGAUUCCUGUACCAGUGCUAAUUGUUUAACCGAUGGGGUGACACAGAAGGAUAGGGAAUCGCACGAAUGGAAAUGUGCGUCCAAGCAGUGAGUGUGAGAAGUAGGCAAAUCCGCUUCUCGCGAAGCAUGAGCUGUGAUGGGGAAGGAAAUUAAGUACGGAAGUUCCUGAUUUCACGCUGUCAAGAAAAGCCUCUAGGAAGAGUA
RNAcentral lists this ribosomal RNA (1239 nucleotides) under Listeria monocytogenes. RNAcentral describes it as "partial 23S ribosomal RNA". It matches the Rfam family "Bacterial large subunit ribosomal RNA", at positions 396 to 1633 of the family's 2925-position model. Lineage: Bacteria; Bacillati; Bacillota; Bacilli; Caryophanales; Listeriaceae. The record is from RNAcentral.